RNAcentral lists this long non-coding RNA (2601 nucleotides) under Homo sapiens (human). RNAcentral's name for it is "HSALNT0184493". The record is from RNAcentral. Lineage: Eukaryota; Metazoa; Chordata; Mammalia; Primates; Hominidae.
CAGUAUGCCUGUUAUUUGAGUGGACUCUUCUUGGACCAUUUGCUUGGAUGAACAGUGGGCAGAAGUGGAAAGGAAGGGUGCUCUGGACAAAGGUGACAAAGCCCAGGAACAAAAGUCGGAAGGUGCACAGUGUGCCCAGAGGGCCAGGAAUUGGGUGGAGUGACUGGCUCCUUGGUCGCUUGCAAGUAGCAUGAGAAUAGAGAGGGCUGGGAGAUGCAUUAAAAAGCACCAGGACAAAUUUAGGUUUGCACAGAAAAGGACGUUUCGUCAGGGUACGUGAGGAAAGUUGAGUAGAGAAUUUAGGAAUGGAGCAGACGACUCUGGUUGGGAUGAUGAGAGCGGAGAGACAGAUCCAUGUUCUUUCCAGGUGCCCCAGCAGCUCCAGGUCUCGCUGAACCUGUUACUAUGGCAGCGUCUAUGCUUCACUUUUGAGGAUUGCUUCUGCUUUGAAAUAGCCGUGUGGAAGAAAAACUACAAAGUUUUGAGGGGGAAAAAACCCACCUAACUUUAGCUGCCGUUGUGUCUUCAUCUGUAAAAAUCUUCUUCAUGUCUCAUGGAUUUCAACAUGCAGUUUAUCUUGGUUUGUUCCAUAAAACAUCAGAUGCAACUUUAAUGGCCUAACCCCAAAAAGAUAACUUGGCAGCCAUCAAGCAUUCAGCAGCGUUCCAAAUGCCCUCUUGCUGGAGCCAGCCUUCUACGGGGCCAUGUGGAUGUCAGGCACACACAAUUUGAGUCACGCUGACAUAGCUGGGAUGCCUGGAUUGCACUGGAAUCUGGGGGGUACCAAUCACAGGCCAGAGAGAAGCCAUUGGCUGGAAGGAACAAUGCCAGCGUGUUCACCGUCUCUGCAGAAGGAGGGGGUGUUGAUGGUGAGGGGAAUGACAGUUGCAGCCAAAGGAGCAAAAUGACCCCAAAGCAGGGUGGGCACAUGUCAUUGAUGCUGGGCAGAAGCACUCCAGGGGCUCAGGUCAUGACCACACCCCUUUUCUCCUGCCCCACAACCAGAAAAACUAAGAAGGUACAAGAUUUUCCCUAAAACUUAAUGUACAGAAUGCCCUGCUGUCUUCAGGUUUUUGGGAAAUCCAGGGUUGACAACAACAGCCCAAAUAUAUGAAGCACUUACCUCUACCAGGCACUGUCUGUAUCUUACAAAUAAUUCGUUUAAUUCUCACAACUCCUUAAUGAGGUAAGUUUUACAAUUUCCAUUUUAUGAUGAGGGAAACUGAGGCUUAGAAAGAUUAAGAAACUUGCCCAAAUCCUGCAGCCAGAAAUGGGCAGAAUCAAGACAUGAACCACAGUCUCUCAAAAGCCAAAGCCUGGGCACUCACUACUACCCUCAACAGCCCGGUGGCUGGUUCAUGCCAUCUCUGCCACCCUCACACAGCCACCUCUUGGAUGGUAGAACCCUGUGUGUUGAACAAGUAGAGUAACAUUCUAAAAGGAUUCUUUUUCCUCCCCUGUUUUCCUGGGGGCUGAGUAGACAUGUUUAAACAUGCUGUUCAUCUGACACUUGUUUACUUCAGUGGCUAUGAUGUGCAAGACCCCAGACCAGGAACAGUAAGAGGGCAUGAGGAUAACCCAGCGUGGAGACCACUCUGGAGGAGGCUGCAGACUGGAGGCGCUGUUGUAGCCAGCUGCAUUUUGGAGGCUGGGUUGCCUGUCUUAGAUCUCUAAUGAGUUUGGUCAUUAUUUUUUCAGCCAGGGUUUUCUUCCUCCCUCCCUGUCUUCCUUCCCUUUCUCCUUCCUUCCUUCAUUCCUUCCUUCCUUUCUUCCUUCCUUCUUUCCUCCCUCCCUCCCUCCCUCCCUCCCUUCCUUUCUCUCUUUCCUUCUAUCUUUUAUUUUCUCUCUUUCUCUGUCUCUCUCUUUCUCUCUUUCUUCCUCCCUCCCUCCCUUUCUCUCCUUCUUUCUUUCUCCCUCCCUCCUCUCCUCCCUCUCUUGGUCUCUCUCUCUCUCCCUUCCUUCCUUUGUUCUUUCAAGAUUUUUCUUUCUUUCUUUCUUUCUUUUAAAGGUGUAAGCCUUUUUCUGGUUCACUACAUGCCAAGGACUGCGCUAAAUCAUUCACAUAAAACCACCAGCGUGCAUCACCUCAUUUGGUCCUCCCACAGUCUAACGGGUAGGUACUGUCAUUACCCUCAUUUUAAGAAAAUGAAGAAACUGAAGCUCAGAGAGAAGAAUCUACCAUAAAACCAACAGACUCCUCCUGAUCUCUACCUGUGCUGUCUGCCUCUCUAGUUCCGGACACUGAGAGCUGGUGCCCUGUGGCCACCUCAAGCUGGAACCCUGCAAGAUCACCAAGAAGACUGCAUGCCUCGCUCUAGCCUUCCUAAGGGAAAGUAGACUCCUGUUUUUGAGAGAAAUUACCUGAUUUCAAGAGAAACAUAAAGGACUUUUUUUCCCUUAACAUUCCACUCGUAAAAAUGAAGUUUGGAAGAACUUCUGCAAACUCUGAGUGUUUUGGUCAAUUGACCUUUUACUGUACUAAGCAAAUCUGAAGCCACAAAUACAUUGGGGAGGAAGGUAUACCCUUCACAAAAGAUCCGUCACUUAGCCAGAUACUCUGUUGCCAUGCUUCUUUAAAUAAAGCACAUUUCUGGUAUAUUU